Long non-coding RNA from Bos taurus (domestic cattle), 352 nucleotides. NCBI's taxonomy places the organism in Eukaryota, Metazoa, Chordata, Mammalia, Artiodactyla, Bovidae. The record is from Ensembl.
GUUCUUGCCUUUGAUUGACUUAUAGUCAAGUGGAGUGGACACAGGUCAUGGUGGCAGUAUAGCCACUUAAGUAUUCCGAAGGAGAUUUAUCAGCAGGUUGCAGGUGAACAUGGCCUUGAGACAAGGGGCUCCCCAGCUGGUGCGAGUGGUAGAGAACCCGCCUGCCACUGAAGGAGACAUGCGGGUUUGAUCCCUGGUUGGGAAGAUCCCCCGGAGGAGGAAAUGGCAACCCACUCCAGUAUUCUUGCUUGGAGAAUCCCAUGGACAGAGGAGCCUGGCAGGCUACAGCCCAUGGGGUCACACAGAGUCAGAUAUAAGUGAAGUGACUUGGCAUGCAUGCACACACAUAAGU